CAUUUUCCAAUUAUAAUGAUAAAGGCAAAGAACGAAUCAAUGUCUAUAUUACGAGAAGGACUUGUAGGUUUGAACCGCACCGGGAAGAUCCCGUAUCAUUUGGCCCUAAUCACCGCACCUCACGAAGAGUAUUACGUUGGUGAUCUUACCUACCCACCGCACCGGUAAAUCCGUAUCCUUUGGUGGUGUCCCCAUAUCCAUAAUUAGUUACAUACAGUGCACAUGUACGAAUUAAAACAAUACUUAUAUAGUAUAAAUUCAAAUAAUCCCACACGAGCUAACUAGCAAACACAAUCAUCAAUACAAAGGUGUGAGAGAACUCACCUUGAGUGAGUAUUAAGGAUGGAUAACAAUCAAAUAAUGCUACCAAGCUUGAGCAAACUUCAAAACCUCACCUAAGAAGGACUAAAGGUUAGAAAGGAGAAGUAACGAAGCUAUGAGUUGAGAAAAGAGUAAUCACAACAAGGUCUCUAAAACAGACCUGCUGUUCAAAAUGGAUUUACUCCAAAAUAUAAAACAGAAACAUAGCUUUAACUAAAUUUUAUAGGAAACUACGAUUUCUCUGGAUUCCACAACUAUAAAUAACUCAUUCUAACUCCAAAAGAUGAAUUAAAUAUGAAUUUUACAAAAUGGUGUAUCACUUCUGUCUCCAACAAUACAGUCAAGUGAUGUUGGCCAAUUCUACCCAACUUGUGAGUAGAAGUAGUCCAAAAUAAAAUUAAGAGAAGUAAAGGAUAUACAAGUGAAAGUCUCAGAGUUGGAAUUGAAUGAAAAGCAUCUCUCAAACUCCAGAUAUAAAAUUCACAUUGUGGACAAUCACAGCACUAGCAAAAGCUGGUGACUGCCCACUGACCUGGAGUGUGGAUCCAUUCUAACCAAUUUAUAAUUGGAAAUAACACCCCAUAUUCUCCAGAUCUUAAAUUCAUAAUAUAAGGAACAUAUAGAAACUUGGAAUCACUCUGGAUCCUUUUCCAAGCCUUAGAAAUGAUGAAAACAAAAUGACAUAUCAGAACAGACCCGGAUCAGACCUAACAGCAAAGAUGCCAUUCUUUCACAUAGAUAAAGCCCUUAUCAGUGAGGUUGGCCUUCUUAAGAAAGUUAGCCAACUCAAUUUGUGAACUUUUGGAACUGGUUUGGGGUCCGUUUGAGUUCUAGAGCUCCAGAUAUGAUUUUUACAAAAUGACUACAGAUCUGAUGGAAAACAGAAUCGUAGCCACCCGUGAUUCCUUUUUGGCUUAUCCAUCCUUCUCCUUUUGAAACACAUUUUAAGAUGUGUUCAUCAUCCCAAUUCAGUCCCCAUGAUAAUGGUGGUACUAAAAAGGGUUAGGGAUCAUUAGGAUUUCAUUUAGCCUCAAGGAUGUAAUAAUAAUCAACAUGAAAAUAAACAUAAGCACAUAAAAUCAUCAUUCUCCCUUUUAGGGUUUCCAUGAUCUUUUGCCACAUGUAAUCCCCUAGAUCCAUCAUCCACCAUAUAUGGGGUGAAGAUAGGAUCUUGAGAUGAUGUAUAACAUACAAUUACAAAUAAAAUAAGAAGGAGAAGAGGUGAAGAUGAAAUCAUAAAACUAGAACAAGGUUAUGAAUCAAGUUGUAAGAAAGGAUAAGGAGGUUCAUACCAAUACGAAUCAAGGCUGGAAAUGAACAAGAAUUAAGCUCCAAACAGCCCCUUGGCUGCUCUUGAUCCCAAAGAGAGAGAGAGGGACGAUUUUUGAGAGAGAGGGAGGGUUUAGAGUGUUUUCCUUGUGUGUGUUCCAAAUGAUUCAAUUUACACAUUAAGUACUAUUAACUAGAUGGACUUUGCAAAUAGGCCCAUAGCCCAUGGACUUCAAUAAAAGGAGUUUACAAGAUGAUCAAAAGAGUCCAAUAACAUAAGAAAUCAGACAUUGGUUAAAUAAAUUAACCCAAGGUUACAAGGAUAAUUAAAUUAAAAUAACCAAACGUACCGAGAAAACCCGGGGCGUUACAACUCUCCCCCACUAAGAACGGACUUCGUCCUCGAAGUCAACACCUAGAAACAGAUCCGGAUAAUGAGCCCGCAUCUCGCAUUCCGGUUCCCAAGUCCAUUCCGAACCCUUCCUAUGUUGCCACUGCACCUUAACCAGGUUUAUAGUCUUGUUGCGGAGAGCUUUCGUCUUUCGUUCUAAAAUAGCGAUUGGUUUCUCAACAUAAUUGAGACGCUCGUCAAUUUGUAUGUCCUCCAGUGGUAUCACAGCGGUCUCAUCAACAACGCAUUUUCGUAACUGAGACACGUGGAACGUAUUAUGAAUUAGACUAAGCUCGUCAGGAAGCUCUAAACGGUAAGCCACCUUCCCCACACGAGCUAUGACCUUGUAGGGUCCAAUGAAUCGGGGUCCGAGCUUUCCCCGCUUCCGAAAUCGAAUCACACCUUUCCAGGGGGAGACUUUAAGCAACACAUAAUCUCCCACCUGGAACUCAAGAUUGGAGCGUCUUUUGUCGGCAUAACUUUUCUGACGACUGCUCGCUGUGACCAAAUGAUCCCGAAUCACUUGGAUUUUCUCCGUAGUCUGUAGCACGAUAUCAGUACUCCCAAGUACCCUCUGCCCAACCUCGCCCCAACAAACGGGCGUCCUGCACUUCCUCCCGUACAAGGCUUCAUACGGAGGCAUUUUAAUGCUCGAGUGAUAGCUGUUGUUAUAAGAAAACUCAGCUAGAUGUAGAUGGUCAUCCCAACUACCCCCAAAAUCAAUCGCACACGCCCUAAGCAUGUCCUCCAAGGUCUGAAUCGUCCGCUCACUCUGCCCGUCUGUCUGCGGAUGGAAGGCGGUACUAAAAUGUAAUCGUGUGCCCAAUUCCUCUUGAAACUUCCUCCAGAACCGAGAGGUAAAUCGGGUGUCUCGAUCGGAGACGAUAGAAACGGGCACCCCAUGUAAUGAGACAAUCUCCCGAACAAAGAUCUCGGCUAAUUUCUCCGCCGAUGAGCUCUCCUUUAUAGCCAGAAAGUGAGCACUCUUAGUCAAACGAUCAACAAUCACCCAUAUCGUAUCUGAUCCUCGGGCAGUUCUAGGAAGUUUUGUAAUGAAGUCCAUGGUUAGAUGCUCCCAUUUCCAUUCAGGAAUCUCCAAUGGUUGCAACUUCCCAUGCGGUUUCUGGUGUUCCGCCUUGACCUUCCGACAGGUCAUACAUUCUUCCACAAAUCGAGCCACAUCAUUCUUCAUUCCAUGCCACCAGUAAGCCUCAUGAAGGUCCCGAUACAUUUUAGUAGCACCAGGAUGGAUAGAAAAUUUUGACUUAUGAGACUCAUCCAUUAGGGUUUUCCGAUUUCCCCCGGUAUAUGGAACCCAAACCCUACCGUAGCGAGUCAGCAAACCCCGCCCGUCUCGUUCCAUCUUAGGCAACUCUUUCCCAAUCUUCUCACGCCAGAUGUUUUCUUCCAGUAUUGCCGUCUUUUGGGCGUCCCGGAUUAGAUCUAACAAAGACGACACCAUCGUGAUCCGGAGACACUUAGCUCGAAUUGGUUCGGCAGAUUGUUUACGACUAAGAGCAUCAGCUACCACAUUAGCUUUACCGGGGUGGUAGUGAAUUUCACAAUCAUAAUCUUUUACCACAUCUAACCAUCGGAUCUGCCUCAUAUUCAAAUCCCGCUGCUCGAACAAAUAUUUUAGACUCUUAUGGUCAGUGUAUAUGAUAAACUUCACUCCAUAGAGAUAGUGUCUCCAAAUCUUAAGAGCGAAAACAACAGCCCCAAGCUCCAAAUCAUGAGUGGGGUAGUUUCGUUCGUGGGGUUUCAGCUGUCGGGAGGCAUAGGCUAUCACCCUAUCUCGUUGCAUUAACACGGCACCAAGACCUUGAAGCGAUGCAUCACAGUAAACCACCAUAUCCUCAACCCCAUCAGGUAAGGCCAAAAUCGGAGCUUCACACAAUCGUUUCCUUAACUCAUCAAACGCCAGUUGCUGCUCCGGGCCCCAAACGAAUUUCAUUGAUUUCUUGGUCAAUCGGGUGAGUGGUAAGGCGAUUUUAGAGAAAUUUUCAAUGAACCUCCGGUAAUAACCGGCUAAACCCAAGAAACUGCGAAUUUCAGAAGGUGUUUUCGGAAUCUUCCAUUGUUUAACCGCAUCAACCUUGGCUUGAUCGACCUUGAUACCUUGUUUGUUUACCACAUGCCCCAAGAACUGAACUUCUUCCAACCAAAAUUCACAUUUUGAAAAUUUAGCAUAAAGCCUUUCUCUUGCCAGAGUUUCCAGAAUCUCCCGAAGGUGUUGCUGAUGCUCCUCUUUGCUCUUAGAAUAGACUAAGAUAUCAUCUAUGAACACUAUGACCGAACGGUCAAGCAUCAGGCUACACACCCGGUUCAUGAGAUCCAUGAACGCUGCGGGUGCAUUGGUGAGCCCAAAAGGCAUCACUACGAAUUCAAAGUGCCCAUAUCGAGUACGGAAUGCUGUUUUCUCAAUGUCUUCUUCACGAACACGCAUCUGAUGGUAACCGGAACGUAAAUCAAUCUUGGAAAACCAAGAUGCUCCCUGAAGCUGAUCGAAAAGAUCGUCAAUACGUGGCAACGGGUACCUAUUCUUUAUCGUGCGCUUGUUUAGCUCCCUAUAAUCAAUACACAUUCGCUGGGAUCCAUCUUUCUUCUUCACAAAGAGAAUAGGAGCACCCCAAGGCGAGCAGCUUGGCCGUAUAAACCCUUUAUCACUUAGUUCUUGAAGUUGAUCUUGGAGCUCUUUCAUUUCAGGUGGUGCCAAGCGGUAAGGAGAUUUCGCUACCGGAGUCGCACCUGGCACCAAAUCAAUGCGAAACUCCACUUGCCGAACAGGUGGCAAGCCAGGGAGUUCCUCCGGAAAGACAUCGCUGAAGUCGGAAACGAUAGGAACGUCGUCUAGUGCUAUAGCAGAAGAGCAAGAAGCCAUAGCCAGGCGGGGAAUGUCCCCCUGAAUAAUAAGUUCUCCACCUCUAGGGUUUCGAACACGAACUUGCUUCUUACGACAGUGGAUUUCCGCAUCAAACGCAUCAAGCCAAUCCAUGCCUACGAUAACGCAGAGCUCUCGCAUCGCAAUAGGGAUAAGAUCAAUAGGGAAUUCAACUCCAGAAAACUCGAGAGUGCAACCCCGAUAGACAUCGGUGACAUAAAUAGUGCGGUUGUCGGCAACUUCGACAACCAUUGGGUGAGCCAAUUUUCCGAUACUACGCCCCAAACGAUUAAUAAACGUGUGAGAUACAAAAGAAUGGGUAGCACCGCUAUCAAACAUAACAACAUCGGGCUUGGAAUCUAGCAAAUAAGUGUCUGCCACUGUCGUUGUAAUCACCGGCUCCUCCACAGUCAUCUGGUGAGCACGACCUCGUGUCACCAUAGUGGUUCCCUUAGAGGAUGAUGCAAUUGCAGGAUUUGUACCCCUGUCUCCUUUACCAGUCUUCAACUUCGGGCAUUCAGGCUUCUUGUGUCCCGUCUCGUUGCAGUGAUAGCAGACGGGAACUGCAGAAGUAAUAUGAGGUACUGCACUCGCAGGGGGAUCCCUACAAUUCUUCCAAUGAUGCCCUGGCUUUUUGCAGUUGUAGCAUAUCAACAUAUUUUUCUCGCCCUGAAGACGUCCUAUACUCAUACCUUGACUUACUACCCUGCUUUUGCGUUUUCUGGGCAUCUCUGGAUGUCUUGGAAGAGGUGUCAUUGGCCUUCCUCUUGGACUGGGUCUGCAACUCGAUUUCCCUCCUCCUCGCUACAUUCAUGAUCGCAGAUAAAGUCGAGAACUCCUGCAUGCUAACGAAUUCCCGAAUCUCGAUACGUAGGAUGGCCGUGUACCGGCUGACUAACCAGGCCUCGUUCCCAGCAAACGAGGGGCAAAAAGAUAGCAUCUCCAAGAACUUGGCGUUCAGGUCACUAACGGAUUCGGUAGUCUGCUGUAAGGCCAUGAACUCUUGCUGCAUCCGCUGCUGCUCCACCUUAGGCACAUAUUGUGCCUCGAACCUCUCCACAAAUUGGGCCCAAGACAUGGCCCUCACUUCGUCUUCGUUCAAUAGAGCGGUGAUGGUGUUCCACUAUGUCUUUCCCCUUUUUCACAGCUGAUUCAUGGCGAUCACUGCUUUGUACUAGUCCGGACACCCAACACUUAUGAAGGCGCCCUCAACAUCUGACACCCAGGGCUUAGUAGCAACUGGGUCGGAUUCACCAUUCCAAAGAGGAGAGCUACACUUGUUGAACUUCUCGAAGUAGUAUGCCGAAUCCUGAACAGGCAGAGACAGUAACGCUUCCCCGGGAAUAGCCGCGAGGCGCUCAUCCAGAAGAGCACCGAAUUGGUUGAUUAUGUCGUUGGUCACACCCGGGAUUAGUUCGUUGAAACCGUUAUUGAAUUCCUCAGCGACAAUAUCCCUAACUUGCUCCAUUUGGAGCUGAUUAAGUCGAGCAGGCAGAGCCAUUGGUAUCCACAGAAGAAGGAAAAUCUUAGAAACAAUUCAGCCUAGAUAUUUCUAGGAAGACAAAACACUCAGCUUGCCGAAAAUUUUUCAACCUUGCCCCGACUCGAAACCGGCACCGAUGUUUCAAAUAGUAGGGGCCCUUCUACUACCUUCCACACAAGUUCCAAUUUCGCAUUCGCGUCUAGUUUCAAAAUUUCCAGUUCGCUCUAGCCGUUAAUUUUACAACUCUCUCACGUGUUAACACUAACUAAGUGUGUAAUCUAAUAUUUUAAGGCUAGUAGAAUCAAAUUCAUAUUCAACAAUUUAACAUUAACAUUUAACAUAAGAAAUAAGGCUUACUUGGCUGGCUAACUGGUACACCGCGGCAUCUUUCACUACUAGUCUUCAGAAAGUUUGAAAAAUAUUUUAAAAAGAAAAUAAACUCUUAUAGAGCCUCAAAUUUGAGUCUAGAACAUCCACAAGAAUGCCUAGUUCCCUCAAACUGUGGCUCUGAUACCAACUUGUGACACCCAAUUUUUUUUUUUAAAAAUUUUAAACUUUUAAAACCCAUCUUAAAUUAAAUUAAAACAACUGAAAUAGUCAUAACAUAAUCCAUCAACUUAAUAAUCAUAUAAAAUAAGUGCGGAAGUAAUAAUAAUAAUAAGGUCCCAACAAAAUAACUAGUAGCGAUGUCCCGAUGCUCCAUGUCAAGCCUUAGCCUCUUUAAUCUUAACACCUGAAAAGUUAUAAGGGAAAAACGUAAGCACGAAGCUUAGUGAAUUCAAACACAGACAUUGUACUAACAUUCAUAUUUACUAGCCCUAAUCCAUUUUCCAAUUAUAAUGAUAAAGGCAAAGAACGAAUCAAUGUCUAUAUUACGAGAAGGACUUGUAGGUUUGAACCGCACCGGGAAGAUCCCGUAUCAUUUGGCCCUAAUCACCGCACCUCACGAAGAGUAUUACGUUGGUGAUCUUACCUACCCACCGCACCGGUAAAUCCGUAUCCUUUGGUGGUGUCCCCAUAUCCAUAAUUAGUUACAUACAGUGCACAUGUACGAAUUAAAACAAUACUUAUAUAGCAUGCUUUUAUAAUAAAUUCAAAUAAUCACACACGAGCUAACUAGCAAACACAAUCAUCAAUACAACGGUGUGAGAGAACUCACCUUGAGUGAGUAUUAAGGAUGGCUAACAAUCAAAUAAUGCUACCAAGCUUGAGCAAACUUCAAAACCUCACCUAAGAAGGACUAAAGGUUAGAAAGGAGAAGUAAUGAAGCUAUGAGUUGAGAAAAGAGUAAUCACAGCAAGGUCUCUAAAACAGACCUGCUGUUCAAAACGGAUUUACUCCAAAAUCUAAAACAGAAACAUAGCUUUAACUAAAUUUUAUAGGAAACUAUGAUUGCUCAGGAUUCCACAACUAUAAAGAACUCAUUCUAACUCCAAAAGAUGAAUUAAAUAUGAAUUUUACAAAAUGGUGUAUC
This 7819-nucleotide long non-coding RNA is filed under the name Lactuca sativa (garden lettuce). RNAcentral describes it as "long non-coding RNA (LSAT_LNC007430)". The record is from RNAcentral. Lineage: Eukaryota; Viridiplantae; Streptophyta; Magnoliopsida; Asterales; Asteraceae.